AACAUGAUUAGCAAAGUUGCUAGCAUGUUUCUAACAUGAUUAGCAAGUUGCUAGCAUAUUUCUAGCAUGAUUAAAAAGUUGCUAGUAUGUUUCUGGCAUGAUUAGCAAGCUGUUAGCCUGUUUCUAGCAUGAUUAACAAAUCGCUAGCAUGUUUCUAGCAUGAUUAGCAAAUCGCUAGCAUGUUUCUAGCAUGAUUAACAAGUUGCUAGCAUGUUUCUAGCAUGAUUAGCAUGUUUCUAGCAUGAUUAGCAAGUCACUAGCAUGUUUCUAGCAUGAUUA
Molecule: long non-coding RNA, 279 nt
Organism: Labeo rohita (rohu)
Lineage: Eukaryota; Metazoa; Chordata; Actinopteri; Cypriniformes; Cyprinidae
Exons: 3
Source: RefSeq, a predicted model, not a curated record